CUGGUGUGCAACUGAAGGGAGGAGGGAGCAGGCGUUCCUCUGCUGCUGAAGAGGGCUGUGGAAACUUAAGUCAUAGACAUGCUUCAGUGAGAGGAUGAGGAUUUGCCCAGAUGGGAAGCUUCAAGUGCAGAGGCACUUGUACAUCUACUUAUCUUGAGUCUCAAUGAUGCUGUUUAUGAGUGAGCUAUUCAAAUGGAGGAAGAAACCCACGGAGAAGGAGAAAUAACAGGUCGGAGUGAUUAUGUACAGAAGGAUAGGCUCUAGCAGGAGUCCAGUGGGAAAGAAGGAAGGGAAUACAAUUAAGAAUUAUUAAUGGCAGAUCUCUAAUGAUUUCACUGGAUCCAAAGGAACAGGGCAAUACUGAGUAAGAAACACUUGAUAUACGAAAAAAGCGUGAGUGCGAAGGAAAAUACAUCAUUCUACAGAUGUUGACGGACUCUGACGGUGGGAAAGCGUCCCUCAAGAUUGAAUUGGAGUAGAAGCUGACCCUCCCACUUGCCCAGAGAUCCCCUAGCUGGAUACGAUUUCAGCAAUAGAACACUUGAUCAUCACAGUGCUUGGCAUAUACAGAAAAAUCAAACGCCCAGAGAGGUCAAGAUGUCUGCAAAGAGACACAGAGUGAUGCAAUGGAAAUCCUGUGUGGAGGUCUCCAGAAGGCUAAUUUCUGAAGCAGUGUUCUAUCCACAUGACCGUGCUGCUGCUCAUUAAGAUGGUACCUCUCAUUAAGAUAAAGCAUAAUCAUUAAAAAUCCUUUAGCUUGCUCACAUUAACUACCAUUGUGCGUCACAGGUCUAAUGCUUCAUGAAAGCUCAGAGUGAAUUAGACAUUUUAUUUAAGUGCUACUUAACUAAAAGUUAAAAAGUAUAAUUUUCUAUUGCAGCAUAAGAACUGGAGAGACUAAUUUGGUGUGGUUGUUAAAUUUUACAAAGCCUGAUUCUCAAUUUUCAAAAAAUAUUGUACAUUUAUUUAUUGAAGUGAAUGAAACAUUUGCUAUAAAACUAUUCAACGGAAAGUUUUUUAACAAAGCAUAAUUUACUUUUCAUUUACAGAACAAUGGAAAGUAGAAAGAAAUCUCCUCCAAGGUAUUAGAAUCAUGUACAGUUUCAUAUUUGACUAAAAAAUUAUUUCCCCAGCCUGUUUUCUCAACACUAAGGAUAUGCAGAAAAGUAUCACUUGCAUUCAUCAUGAAAAUUACAGAAAAAUGACUGAAACUACUGAGAACAUUAUUAAAUAAAACAUAUACUUAUUAUCUGU
This 1254-nucleotide long non-coding RNA is filed under the name Homo sapiens (human). Its description in RNAcentral is "HSALNT0010149". Lineage: Eukaryota; Metazoa; Chordata; Mammalia; Primates; Hominidae. The record is from RNAcentral.